CUCAUUCCUCAGCCAGUCUACAAUUGUAAAAAUUCUCCUGGAAUUAUAGAACACCGGCACGAAGACCCUUAUAGGUAAUGCAAAGCUGCCAGAAAAUGCCACUCCUUCCAUGAAGACUUGACUCGCUAAGAGGAAGACAUGUGGUGCGGCUGCUUUGAUCCCCUCUGUAUCACCCUCAAAGAUUCCUUCAACGAUAUAAGCUAUGGGGAGAUACAGGCCAAUUAUAGCAGCAACAAACACGUAGAGUCGUAAAGUUUUGUUUUUUGGAUCAAAAACUAACGAUUCCUUUGAUGGGUUGACACAGGGGAAUGCAACUUUGGAAAGGAAGUACAUGUAGAUGAAGGAGAACACAACGAAAGCGAAGUCUUCAGGACUUACCAUGCCAGUUGCGGAGAGGACGGUGAUAACAGCGACGGCAAUUAGGUGGUUGAAGCUCAAGAAAACAGCUUUCUU
Molecule: long non-coding RNA, 453 nt
Filed under: Manihot esculenta (cassava)
Lineage: Eukaryota; Viridiplantae; Streptophyta; Magnoliopsida; Malpighiales; Euphorbiaceae
Description: long non-coding RNA (MESC_LNC008266)
Source: RNAcentral